GUAGACCCGAAGCCGGGCGACCUACCCAUGAGCAGGAUGAAGCGAAAGUAAAAUUUCGUGGAGGUCCGAACCCACGAGCGUUGAACAGCUCGGGGAUGACUUGUGGGUAGCGGUGAAAUUCCAAUCGGGCCCGGAGAUAGCUGGUUCUCCCCGAAAUAGCUUUAGGGCUAGCCUCAAGGUGAGAGAUACGGAGGUAGAGCACUGAAUGUCCUA
This 213-nucleotide ribosomal RNA is filed under the name Clostridioides difficile. RNAcentral's name for it is "partial 23S ribosomal RNA". It matches the Rfam family "Bacterial large subunit ribosomal RNA", at positions 709 to 921 of the family's 2925-position model. The record is from RNAcentral. Lineage: Bacteria; Bacillati; Bacillota; Clostridia; Peptostreptococcales; Peptostreptococcaceae.